CCUACGGGAGGCAGCAGUGAGGAAUAUUGGUCAAUGGGCGCGAGCCUGAACCAGCCAAGUCGCGUGAGGGAAGACGGUCCUAUGGAUUGUAAACCUCUUUUGUCGGGGAGCAAAAGACGCCACGCGUGGCGUUCCGAGAGUACCCGAAGAAAAAGCAUCGGCUAAAUCCGUGCCAGCCGCAGCGGGAAUACGGGGGAUGCGAGCGUUAUCCGGAUUUGUUGGGUUUAAGGGGAGCGCAGGGGGAAGAUCAAGUCAGCGGUAAAAUUGAGGGGCUCAACCGGUUCGAGCCGUUGAAACUGGUUUUCUUGAGUGAGUGAGAAGUAUGCGGAAUGCGUGGUGUAGCGGUGAAAUGCAUAGAUAUCACGAAGAACUCCGAUGGCCAAGGCAGCAUACCGGCGCUCAACUGACGCUCAUGCACGAAAGUGUGGGUAUCGAACAGGAUUAGAUACCCCUGUAGUC
RNAcentral lists this ribosomal RNA (459 nucleotides) under uncultured bacterium. Its description in RNAcentral is "partial 16S ribosomal RNA". It matches the Rfam family "Bacterial small subunit ribosomal RNA", at positions 338 to 795 of the family's 1533-position model. The record is from RNAcentral.